This 427-nucleotide ribosomal RNA is filed under the name Platythelphusa armata. RNAcentral's name for it is "partial 16S ribosomal RNA". The stretch from base 302 to 427 matches the Rfam family "Bacterial large subunit ribosomal RNA", at positions 2473 to 2599 of the family's 2925-position model. The record is from RNAcentral. Lineage: Eukaryota; Metazoa; Arthropoda; Malacostraca; Decapoda; Platythelphusidae.
UUUUAAUUAGGAUCUUGUAUGAAUGAUUGGACAAAAGAAGGACUGUCUUUAUAUUAGAGUUUGAAUUUAACUUUUAAGUGAAAAGGCUUAAAUAUUCUAAAGGGACGAUAAGACCCUAUAAAACUUUACAUUGGUAAUUUAUAUUAUUAAAUUUUAUUAUAAUAAUUGUUUAGAUUUAUUUGUUAUGUUGGGGAGACAAAAAUUAUAAUUUAUAUUAACUGUUUUUAAAAAAUUCAUUAAUUAAUGAUUAAGUUAAUUUAAUUGAUCCUUUAUAAAGAUUUAAAGAUUAAGUUACUUUAGGGAUAACAGCGUUAUUUUUUUUGAGAGUUCAUAUCGAAAAAAGAGAUUGCGACCUCGAUGUUGAAUUAAAAGUUCUUUAUAAUGUAGAUGUUAUAAGAGAAGGUCUGUUCGACCUUUAAUUUUUUAC